Molecule: ribosomal RNA, 1156 nt
Filed under: Escherichia coli
Lineage: Bacteria; Pseudomonadati; Pseudomonadota; Gammaproteobacteria; Enterobacterales; Enterobacteriaceae
Description: partial 23S ribosomal RNA
Rfam family: Bacterial large subunit ribosomal RNA
Source: RNAcentral
CAUAGGUUAAUGAGGCGAACCGGGGGAACUGAAACAUCUAAGUACCCCGAGGAAAAGAAAUCAACCGAGAUUCCCCCAGUAGCGGCGAGCGAACGGGGAGCAGCCCAGAGCCUGAAUCAGUGUGUGUGUUAGUGGAAGCGUCUGGAAAGGCGCGCGAUACAGGGUGACAGCCCCGUACACAAAAAUGCACAUACUGUGAGCUCGAUGAGUAGGGCGGGACACGUGGUAUCCUGUCUGAAUAUGGGGGGACCAUCCUCCAAGGCUAAAUACUCCUGACUGACCGAUAGUGAACCAGUACCGUGAGGGAAAGGCGAAAAGAACCCCGGCGAGGGGAGUGAAAAAGAACCUGAAACCGUGUACGUACAAGCAGUGGGAGCACGCUUAGGCGUGUGACUGCGUACCUUUUGUAUAAUGGGUCAGCGACUUAUAUUCUGUAGCAAGGUUAACCGAAUAGGGGAGCCGAAGGGAAACCGAGUCUUAACUGGGCGUUAAGUUGCAGGGUAUAGACCCGAAACCCGGUGAUCUAGCCAUGGGCAGGUUGAAGGUUGGGUAACACUAACUGGAGGACCGAACCGACUAAUGUUGAAAAAUUAGCGGAUGACUUGUGGCUGGGGGUGAAAGGCCAAUCAAACCGGGAGAUAGCUGGUUCUCCCCGAAAGCUAUUUAGGUAGCGCCUCGUGAAUUCAUCUCCGGGGGUAGAGCACUGUUUCGGCAAGGGGGUCAUCCCGACUUACCAACCCGAUGCAAACUGCGAAUACCGGAGAAUGUUAUCACGGGAGACACACGGCGGGUGCUAACGUCCGUCGUGAAGAGGGAAACAACCCAGACCGCCAGCUAAGGUCCCAAAGUCAUGGUUAAGUGGGAAACGAUGUGGGAAGGCCCAGACAGCCAGGAUGUUGGCUUAGAAGCAGCCAUCAUUUAAAGAAAGCGUAAUAGCUCACUGGUCGAGUCGGCCUGCGCGGAAGAUGUAACGGGGCUAAACCAUGCACCGAAGCUGCGGCAGCGACGCUGAUGCGUUGUUGGGUAGGGGAGCGUUCUGUAAGCCUGUGAAGGUGUGCUGUGAGGCAUGCUGGAGGUAUCAGAAGUGCGAAUGCUGACAUAAGUAACGAUAAAGCGGGUGAAAAGCCCGCUCGCCGGAAGACCAAGGGUUCCUGUC